CGCCGAACCAACCUGUCACCAU
RNAcentral lists this non-coding RNA (22 nucleotides) under Arabidopsis thaliana (thale cress). Lineage: Eukaryota; Viridiplantae; Streptophyta; Magnoliopsida; Brassicales; Brassicaceae. The record is from RNAcentral.